AACGAACGCUGGCGGCGUGCCUAACACAUGCAAGUCGCGCGGGAAAGUUCCCUUCGGGGAGCGAGUAUAGCGGCGCACGGGUGAGUAAUACGUAGGUAACCUGCCCUUGAGACUGGGACAACCUGUCGAAAGACGGGCUAAUACCGGAUAAGACCACGAGAGCUGCGGCUCUUGGGGUAAAAGUGGCCUCUGCUUGCAAGCUAUCACUUGAGGAUGGGCCUGCGCGCCAUUAGCUAGUUGGUGAGGUAACGGCUCACCAAGGCAGAGAUGGCUAGCUGGUCUGAGAGGAUGACCAGCCACACUGGGACUGAGACACGGCCCAGACUCCUACGGGUGCAG
This 339-nucleotide ribosomal RNA is filed under the name uncultured Pseudomonadota bacterium. Its description in RNAcentral is "bacterial SSU rRNA". It matches the Rfam family "Bacterial small subunit ribosomal RNA", at positions 29 to 351 of the family's 1533-position model. The record is from RNAcentral. Lineage: Bacteria; Pseudomonadati; Pseudomonadota.